Zalophus californianus (California sea lion) is the source of this 1381-nucleotide long non-coding RNA. RefSeq lists it as uncharacterized. The record is from RefSeq and is a predicted model, not a curated record. Lineage: Eukaryota; Metazoa; Chordata; Mammalia; Carnivora; Otariidae. The transcript has 3 exons.
CAGAGUCCGGAGCGGCCGCGCGUCCCGGGCCGGGAGUCGCGGGAAGUUGGCGGGCGGGGCGGGCGCGCGGGAACCUGACAGGCCGGCGCCGCCCGGGCGGUGCUAGGGCCCGUCGGGGGUUCGGGUCCGGGGUGCGAGACCCGACUGAGACGGGGGCCUGAAGAAAGGGGACGGGACGAGGGGGGGAAUUGUGGAAUGUGAAGGAAAGGGGAGAAGGGACAGGUUGCGGGGGAGAGCAAGGAAGGAGAGGGGAGGGAGGGAGGGAGGGAGGGAGGGGGCGGGCGGGGCGGAGGAAGAGAGCGAGGGCCCCGAGAGAGCGCCUCAGGGGGUCACCGGCCUCCACUGGUCCUCCCACACAUCCUCCAGGAAAUUCGAGAAAACACUCUUCUCCGGGAGUGUUCCACCAGUGUCCAAAUAGGGAGGGAAAGUAGAGACAGCAGAAAACCUGGAGCCCGCGGAGAGAAGUAGGCAGCAAAGGGGCCAGGGAAAGUGUUGGUGAAGGGAGGCAAGAAGACGGAGGCCGCCAGGAGAGGUGGCCAGGGCUAACACAGGGGCUCUCGGACCCAGCAGUGCCCCCCCGCACCCCACCCCCCCGUCCCCACCACCGGGGGCCGGGCCCUGGCCCUGCUGCCUUCUGCGGACUUCAAGGCUGGAGGCAACCUGACGCUGGGCAAGGUGAUGCAUCUGACCUUCCUGACCCUGAACUGGAAGUAAAUGAGCCAAAGGCUCACUCAUGGAGAUAAAUCACUUCCAUUACCUGUCCUUGAGGAAUGAAGUUUCUCCUUGUUUCACGUGAGGAGAUGGAAGAGGGGCCCUGAAAAUUCAUCCUGGAAGCUCGCCUCCCCAACUAGAUUCUGCUGUAGGUCAUUCACCAGUGUAAACUAUUACAAGAACGAUUACUAGGAAAUUGAUACGAAAUCAGCACUUAGGGGAAAUCAGCAUUUAGGGGAAGAUAAGCUUGUGUGGUUCUAAUUUGAUGGGAGGAACAGGCUGUCUAGUCUCAGACUGGCAGGGGCUGAGCAUUCUCGGCUCCUUGCUGCAUUUGACGUCAUCAGUAUUGGCAGAUACCCCCAAAGAGUAGCAGAGUCCAGUUUAAAGAUGCGCCUCUUGAGAUUUGGCCAAGGACUUGGACUCUGGGAUAAGAUGGUUGUAUUUAGUUCCGAACAAGAUGGUUGUAAAGAUGGGGGACGUGAGUCAGGUUUUUGGUAUUUGUUUUUGGUGCCUCUCAUAUAUAUUAAAUUCCUCCCUUACCUAUUCGGAUAACCCAUCCGUAUGUAUUCUCUUUGUAUUUACUUCUAAGGUUGAGGGAAAAGAGAAAAUAAGCACCAUGACAGGACAGUUUGAGUUGGUUGCCAGGCUCAGAGUCGUGUUAAGAGGGGGG